Molecule: ribosomal RNA, 266 nt
Filed under: uncultured bacterium
Lineage: Bacteria
Description: partial 16S ribosomal RNA
Rfam family: Bacterial small subunit ribosomal RNA
Source: RNAcentral
UAGGGAAUAUUGGUAAUGGGCGAAAGCCUGAACCAGCAACGCCGCGUGUGCGAUGAAGGCCUUCGGGUUGUAAAGCACUUUUUGAGGGGAUGAGGAAGGACAGUACCCUCAGAAUAAGUCUCGGCUAACUACGUGCCAGCAGCCGCGGUAACACGUAGGAGACUAGCGUUAUCCGGAUUUACUGGGCGUAAAGCGCGUGCAGGUGGCUCGGAAAGUUCGAUGUGAAAGCUCCCGGCUUAACUGGGAGAGGUCGUUGAGUACUUUCG